GAGGCGCCCGCCGCCUGCCGCGGGGGCCGCUCGCGUCCUCCAUGGAGGCCGGAGAGGAACCGCUGCUGCUGGCCGAACUCAAGCCCGGGCGCCCCCACCAGUUUGACUGGAAGUCCAGCUGUGAAACCUGGAGCGUCGCCUUCUCCCCAGAUGGCUCCUGGUUUGCUUGGUCUCAAGGACACUGCAUCGUCAAACUGAUCCCCUGGCCGUUGGAGGAGCAGUUCAUCCCUAAAGGGUUUGAAGCCAAAAGCCGAAGUAGCAAAAAUGAGACGAAAGGGCGGGGCAGCCCAAAAGAGAAGACGCUGGACUGUGGUCAGAUUGUCUGGGGGCUGGCCUUCAGCCCGUGGCCUUCCCCACCCAGCAGGAAGCUCUGGGCACGCCACCACCCCCAAGUGCCCGAUGUCUCUUGCCUGGUUCUUGCUACGGGACUCAACGAUGGGCAGAUCAAGAUCUGGGAGGUGCAGACAGGGCUCCUGCUUUUGAAUCUUUCCGGCCACCAAGAUGUCGUGAGAGAUCUGAGCUUCACACCCAGUGGCAGUUUGAUUUUGGUCUCCGCGUCACGGGAUAAGACUCUUCGCAUCUGGGACCUGAAUAAACACGGUAAACAGAUUCAAGUGUUAUCGGGCCACCUGCAGUGGGUUUACUGCUGUUCCAUCUCCCCAGACUGCAGCAUGCUGUGCUCUGCAGCUGGAGAGAAGUCGGUCUUUCUAUGGAGCAUGAGGUCCUACACAUUAAUUCGGAAGCUAGAGGGCCAUCAAAGCAGUGUUGUCUCUUGUGACUUCUCCCCCGACUCUGCCCUGCUUGUCACGGCUUCUUACGAUACCAAUGUGAUUAUGUGGGACCCCUACACCGGCGAAAGGCUGAGGUCACUCCACCACACCCAGGUUGACCCCGCCAUGGAUGACAGUGACGUCCACAUUAGCUCACUGAGAUCUGUGUGCUUCUCUCCGGAAGGCUUGUACCUUGCCACGGUGGCAGAUGACAGGUAACGAAGAGAACUCUCUUUACAUGGCCUCAGAACAAGUGCUUGCAAGUAAUGGCAGCAAGGCCCUCUUGGUCUGGCCCUGGGUCAGCUAAUAUCCAGAUGUUCUCUCUCCCCAUCCAGACUCCUCAGGAUCUGGGCCCUGGAACUGAAAACUCCCAUUGCAUUUGCUCCUAUGACCAAUGGGCUUUGCUGCACAUUUUUUCCACAUGGUGGAGUCAUUGCCACAGGGUAUGUAUUAGCUGAACAGAUGGGUGGUGCUUUCUGCUGAGUAUACCAUGGAGCUUUUUAAGGAAAGAAACCAUCUAGAAUUUUCUUGCCUAUGAGGAAACCUUUAAGGCAAUUCAAGAUUAUAUAAAACUCAAAUGAUCGAUUUUGCUAAUAACGGUGUCCCAUUUUCUCUGAAUAUUUAACCUAAAUGUAAUUAAAGAUCUGUAAGUCAUGCCACCUAAUGGGCCAAGUUCACAAGGGAGAAUAAAAUUGAGAUGAUGCAUAAUAUAUGGGAAACGAUUUAGGGCUAAAAGACCACUUUACAGGU
This 1520-nucleotide small RNA is filed under the name Pan troglodytes (chimpanzee). RNAcentral's name for it is "retained intron". Lineage: Eukaryota; Metazoa; Chordata; Mammalia; Primates; Hominidae. The record is from RNAcentral.